CUGCUUCAAUGUUUUUUAAAUUGCUGUGGUAUUUUGACUAUACGAAGGUAUCGAAGAAGGCUUUAAUUGGGUGGUAAGAGAAUGGUUUAACAAAAAUUGACUUUCUUUUUAUUUAAAAUAGAAUUUAGUGUAAAAAUGAAAAAAUUUUUAUGAAUUUUUGGGACAAGAAGACCCUAUGAAUUUUUUUUAGAAAAAUAUUUCUUAUUUUUGAGAUAUAAAAUUAAAUAUUUUUUUAAGUUGGUUGGGGUGAUUUUUAAAGAAUUAUUAUCUUUAUAAAUUUUGUUAAUUGGUACCAAAAAUUUUGGUUGUUAGAAUAAAAUACUCUAGGGAUAACAGCGUCAUUAUUUUGGAUAGUUCAUAUAGAUAAAAUAGUUUGCGACCUCGAUGUUGGAUUAAGAUGCUUUUAUGGUGUAGCUGUCAUCAAAAGAAGUUGCUCA
This 437-nucleotide ribosomal RNA is filed under the name Alectorobius clarki. RNAcentral's name for it is "Ornithodoros clarki partial large subunit ribosomal RNA". The record is from RNAcentral. Lineage: Eukaryota; Metazoa; Arthropoda; Arachnida; Ixodida; Argasidae.